Molecule: transfer RNA, 73 nt
Filed under: Diaphorina citri (Asian citrus psyllid)
Lineage: Eukaryota; Metazoa; Arthropoda; Insecta; Hemiptera; Psyllidae
Rfam family: tRNA
About the family: Transfer RNA (tRNA) molecules are approximately 80 nucleotides in length.
Source: Rfam by way of RNAcentral
GCCUAGUUAGCUUAGUUGGUAGUGCGUCUGCCUUCUAAGCGCUAGGCCGCGGGUUCGAUUCCUGCCCGAGGCG